UACGGGGGGAGCAAGCGUUGUUCGGAUUUACUGGGCGUAAAGGGCGCGUAGGCGGCGCGACAAGUCACUUGUGAAAUCUCCGGGCUUAACCCGGAGCGGCCAAGUGAUACUGUAGUGCUAGAGUGCGGAAGGGGCUACUGGAAUUCUCGGUGUAGCGGUGAAAUGCGUAGAUAUCAGGAGGAACACCGGUGGCGAAGGCGGUGGUCUGGGCCGGCACUGACGCUGAGGAGCGAAAGCGUGGGUAGCAAACAGG
RNAcentral lists this ribosomal RNA (253 nucleotides) under uncultured bacterium. Its description in RNAcentral is "partial 16S ribosomal RNA". It matches the Rfam family "Bacterial small subunit ribosomal RNA", at positions 524 to 776 of the family's 1533-position model. The record is from RNAcentral.